Long non-coding RNA from Myotis brandtii (Brandt's bat), 656 nucleotides. RefSeq lists it as uncharacterized. The record is from RefSeq and is a predicted model, not a curated record. Lineage: Eukaryota; Metazoa; Chordata; Mammalia; Chiroptera; Vespertilionidae. The transcript is spliced from 2 exons.
AAAUACGAAAAAAUUGCAAGCAGAAUUUUUGAGCUGAAAGACACAUUACUGUCCCACCUGAAGUUUGAAGGCCAGACACUAUGUACUGAAAGACACCUUCUAGGACAUAAGAUACCCAUCUCUCUAAGGUCCCCUCCUGCUGUCACCUCUCCCUCAUUUCCCAGGGUACCCUGCUUCUACCCGGUCCCAAAUUCUGAUCUCAGAACCAAGUGCCUCUGGAUCUGUGCCUUUCCUAAAUAGUAGCACCUGGGGUCCCAUGAUUCCUCUGCCCACAGCCCUCACUGGCCCUCCUCCAGGGGCUCACCAAGCCUGGGCCAAUGAGCUGCGGGGACAUGUCCCCCUAGCCCGCCAGGCUGCACCGGCUUCAUCACAGGAACCAGACAAAACCCCUUUCCCCGAAAUGUAUCCCUGAAGGCAGCUAGGCACAGCAGCCAAAACACUGGGUGCAAUCAGCAGAAGCAUAAACUGUGCAAACUUGCCAAGAAAUUCCAAAAACACUAUAGAUUCCAUUUUUUAAACAGGGACUUGUGUGAUAUCUAAGUGCAGCACUAAUUUAAGCAAAAGUGUGUAGACAAAUUUUUACAACCUGCAAUAGAUGCAGGCCAUGACAAUUGGACCAAAAUCCAGCUUCACGGUAGCAAUUAGCACUAAAAAAA